GAUGAAGAACGUAGCGAAAUGCGAAAAGUAAUGUGAAUUGCAGAAUUCAGUGAAUCAUCGAAUCUUUGAACGCACAUUGCGCCCGCCAGUAUUCUGGCGGGCAUGCCUGUUCGAGCGUCAUUUCAACCCUCAAGCACAGCUUGGUGUUGGGACUCGCGUUAAUUCGCGUUCCCCAAAUUGAUUGGCGGUCACGUCGAGCUUCCAUAGCGUAGUAGUAAAACCCUCGUUACUGGUAAUCGUCGCGGCCACGCCGUUAAACCCCAACUUCUGAAUGUUGACCUCGGAUCAGGUAGGAAUACCCGCUGAACUUAAGCAUAUCAAUAAGCGGAGGA
This 332-nucleotide unclassified non-coding RNA is filed under the name soil metagenome. Its description in RNAcentral is "partial contains 5.8S ribosomal RNA, internal transcribed spacer 2, and large subunit ribosomal RNA". The stretch from base 1 to 120 matches the Rfam family "5.8S ribosomal RNA", at positions 35 to 154 of the family's 154-position model. The record is from RNAcentral.